GACGAACGCUGGCGGCGUGCUUAACACAUGCAAGUCGGGCGAUGAAGUUCCUUCGGGAAUGGAUUAGCGGCGGACGGGUGAGUAACACGUGGGUAACCUGCCUCAUAGAGGGGAAUAGCCUUCCGAAAGGAAGAUUAAUACCGCAUAAGAUUGUAGUAUCGCAUGAUAUAGCAAUUAAAGGAGUAAUCCGCUAUGAGAUGGACCCGCGUCGCAUUAGCUAGUUGGUGAGGUAACGGCCCACCAAGGCGACGAUGCGUAGCCGACCUGAGAGGGUGAUCGGCCACAUUGGGACUGAGACACGGCCCAGACUCCUACGGGGGGCAGCAGUGGGGAAUAUUGCACAAUGGGGGAAACCCUGAUGCAGCAACGCCGCGUGAGUGAUGACGGUCUUCGGAUUGUAAAGCUCUGUCUUCAGGGACGAUAAUGACGGUACCUGAGGAGGAAGCCACGGCUAACUACGUGCCAGCAGCCGCGGUAA
This 478-nucleotide ribosomal RNA is filed under the name uncultured bacterium. RNAcentral's name for it is "partial 16S ribosomal RNA". It matches the Rfam family "Bacterial small subunit ribosomal RNA", at positions 28 to 523 of the family's 1533-position model. The record is from RNAcentral.